This 208-nucleotide long non-coding RNA is filed under the name Elaeis guineensis (African oil palm). RNAcentral's name for it is "long non-coding RNA (EGUI_LNC055442)". The record is from RNAcentral. Lineage: Eukaryota; Viridiplantae; Streptophyta; Magnoliopsida; Arecales; Arecaceae.
CACACCAUCAAUUAUUUUAGUGAGUGUGUGUGGUCUAUUUACUAUGAUACUCUACAUAUCAUAGUCAAGUGCUUGAAUAAAGAUUUUCAUCUGAGCUUUUCAAUAGGUAUAAUUUGACCCAUUAAAAAGUGAAGGUCAGUUUGUGGACUGCUCCUCGACUAGUGAAGCACUAACUUGAGUUGCCAUAGAUCUUUAGCUUUUUGAUGGU